GUCACGCCCUAACUAUGGAUGCUAGCUGUUUGAGGUAUCGACCCAUUAAGUAGCGAAGCUAACGCGUUAAGCAUCACGCCUGUGGAGUACGAGCGCAAGCUUAAAACAUAAAGGAAUUGACGGGGACCCCGCACAAGCGGUGGAGCGUGUUGUUUAAUUCGAUGGUAAGCGAAGAACCUUACCCAGACUUGACUUCCUUGUCGUCGUUCUGUGAAAGCAGAAUUUCAUUUAGUUGGACAAGUGACAGGUGUUGCAUGGCCGUCGU
RNAcentral lists this ribosomal RNA (265 nucleotides) under uncultured bacterium. RNAcentral describes it as "partial 16S ribosomal RNA". It matches the Rfam family "Bacterial small subunit ribosomal RNA", at positions 794 to 1055 of the family's 1533-position model. The record is from RNAcentral.